This 862-nucleotide ribosomal RNA is filed under the name uncultured bacterium. Its description in RNAcentral is "bacterial SSU rRNA". It matches the Rfam family "Bacterial small subunit ribosomal RNA", at positions 8 to 871 of the family's 1533-position model. The record is from RNAcentral.
AGAGUUUGAUCAUGGCUCAGGAUGAACGCUGGCGGCGUGCUUAACACAUGCAAGUCGAACGGAGUUAUAUUUUUGGAAGCUUCGGUGAAAGAGGAUAUAACUUAGUGGCGGACGGGUGAGUAACGCGUGGGUAACCUGCCGUAUACAGGGGGAUAACACCUGGAAACAGGUGCUAAUACCGCAUAAGCGCACGAUGUCGCAUGACGUUGUGUGAAAAGCCCUGGCGGUAUACGAUGGACCCGCGUCUGAUUAGCUAGUUGGUGGGGCAACGGCCUACCAAGGCGACGAUCAGUAGCCGGCCUGAGAGGGUGGACGGCCACAUUGGGACUGAGACACGGCCCAAACUCCUACGGGAGGCAGCAGUGGGGAAUAUUGCACAAUGGGGGAAACCCUGAUGCAGCGACGCCGCGUGAGUGAAGAAGUAUUUCGGUAUGUAAAGCUCUAUCAGCAGGGAAGAAAAUGACGGUACCUGACUAAGAAGCCCCGGCUAACUACGUGCCAGCAGCCGCGGUAAUACGUAGGGGGCAAGCGUUAUCCGGAUUUACUGGGUGUAAAGGGAGCGUAGACGGCUGGAUCAGUCUGAUGUGAAAGCCCGGGGCUCAACCCCGGGACUGCAUUGGAAACUGUCCGGCUAGAGUGCAGGAGAGGUAAGUGGAAUUCCUAGUGUAGCGGUGAAAUGCGUAGAUAUUAGGAGGAACACCAGUGGCGAAGGCGGCUUACUGGACUGUAACUGACGUUGAGGCUCGAAAGCGUGGGGAGCAAACAGGAUUAGAUACCCUGGUAGUCCACGCCGUAAACGAUGAUUACUAGGUGUUGGUGAGUAAGACUCAUCGGUGCCGUCGCACACGCAAUAAGUAAUCCA